GGCGAGAGCUCAGUGGUAGAGCACGUGCUUAGCAUGCAUGAGGUCCUGGGCUCAAUCCCCAGUAUCUUCA
Molecule: transfer RNA, 70 nt
Filed under: Camelus ferus (Wild Bactrian camel)
Lineage: Eukaryota; Metazoa; Chordata; Mammalia; Artiodactyla; Camelidae
Rfam family: tRNA
About the family: Transfer RNA (tRNA) molecules are approximately 80 nucleotides in length.
Source: Rfam by way of RNAcentral